ACGGAAGGCAGCAGUGGGGGAUAUUGCACAAUGGAGGAAACUCUGAUGCAGCAACGCCGCGUGAGGGAAGAAGGUUUUCGGAUUGUAAACCUCUGUUUUUAGUGACGAAACAAAUGACGGUAGCUAAAGAGGAAGCCACGGCUAACUACGUGCCAGCAGCCGCGGUAAUACGUAGGUGGCAAGCGUUGUCCGGAUUUACUGGGUGUAGAGGGUGCGCAGGCGGGACUGCAAGUUGGAUGUGAAAUACCGGAGCUCAACUCCGGAACUGCAUCCAAAACUGUAGUUCUUGAGUGGAGUAGAGGUAAGCGGAAUUCCGAGUGUAGCGGUGAAAUGCGUAGAUAUUCGGAGGAACACCAGUGGCGAAGGCGGCUUACUGGGCUCUAACUGACGCUGAGGCACGAAAGCAUGGGUAGCAAACAGGAUUAGAUACGGUA
Molecule: ribosomal RNA, 434 nt
Filed under: uncultured Clostridiales Family IV bacterium
Lineage: Bacteria; Bacillati; Bacillota; Clostridia; Eubacteriales; Eubacteriales Family IV. Incertae Sedis
Description: bacterial SSU rRNA
Rfam family: Bacterial small subunit ribosomal RNA
Source: RNAcentral